GUUCCGGGUAAACUGCCACCAGUGGCGGCCGAAGCACCGGGAAGAGCCACGCAGCCCCUCACGCUGCUGUAAUGGGCGCCAACAUCGCGAGCGAUUCCCAGGUCGUGAGCCCUCGGGCAUCCCGCAGCGUCGGGACAGCCGCAUCACUCAGAGCCAGCGGGGCGGACAAGACCUCAGCCCCGGCCCGCCUCGACCGUCCCCGAGCCCCGCUCUUCCCCGCUGGCCGGCUGCCCGCACAUCACUGACAGCAGUGCUCUGGCCCAAGUCCAGAAACGGGAUCUUCUCUUGGGCCGGUCACACACGGCCCCUGAUGCCUCCCCGCACCUCGUCCUUGUCCUGGAGGCCGCGGGACGCGCUGCCCUCUGGCGUGGCUUCGGUGCCACUAGGAAGAUCUCUGUUCUGCUUAAGAUCCCCGGAAGCCCGAGAAGCCGCAGGAAGCUGGAAGGAGAAGCGAGGGCCAAGGAAGGAGCAGGCGCGAACAGGAGACACAGCCCGAGCUGGGAUGUGACUGGAAAGACCCUACCGGUGAGAGAGCCCCAGGAGCACCGCGGGGUGACCUCAGCCAGUCUCCCCCCGGAGAGCCCGAAUUCCUCAGAGCGCCCUGGCCUGAGGCAGAAGAGCGUCAAUUCCAUUGCUUUCCUUGGCACAAACCACCUCUGACCCACAGGCUUUUAGAAGCUUCGCUGACCCCAGGGCUAGGCUGACAAAUGCGGCCCCAGAAUAAACAAAUCCAGCUUAGGGCGCUGGGGACGGGACACUGCCGCCCCAUCCCACAGUGACAUCGGCGCCGGGCAGCUUUGCGGAUGAGUCACGUGUGGGCGUGUAAAAUCCCAGUGCGCGUUUUUGUAAACACUGUUGCGUUUGAGAAGGAAACUUGCCAGGCACCAUGUGGGGACAAAGGGAAAGGAAGUAUCUUCAAAUCCCAGAAGAGAGAAAAGAGAAUAUUCGAAACCAUGCGAUGCACGCUUUCCUUUUUGUUGACGAACAGUUACAGUGCUGCGUACAAAAGUGAUCCCAAUCUGUUCCUUUAGAAACACGGUUUAUUUAGGGUUAGGAAGGACCUGCGGCUGAGAAGGCGAGAGGGUCCCUUGCCCCUGCAUGACCUGGACGUGCGGGGGGUGGGCUGCACUCGGCGGAGGGUGGCCGCCCCCACCUCUCGGUCGGAAAUCUUAGACCCUAAGAAAGCCUGCAAGCAGCCAGAGAGAGAGACUGUGGUAACUUAAACCCGUUCCUUUGCCUUUGAAAGCACUCUCUGCCACCACGACCUCGACCACCGUCCUGUGCAGCUGGAGAGAGCAGAUGUGAUCAAAAAUGUGGUGAAUGCUUAAAGUUUAAAAAACUACUGCAGUAAAAGAUAGGGCCGGGGAUUUAGCAGCUCAGUGG
Molecule: long non-coding RNA, 1383 nt
Filed under: Heterocephalus glaber (naked mole-rat)
Lineage: Eukaryota; Metazoa; Chordata; Mammalia; Rodentia; Bathyergidae
Description: lncRNA (ENSHGLG00000048108.1)
Source: RNAcentral